ACAAGUGUGAAUGCAUACAAAUACACUGAUUAUAACCGUUCGUUUUAUUUGAGAUUUUUUUAAUAAACUGAUCAUAUACGUUUGUACAAAAUAUAGCAAAAAUAUUUUUUUUUGGAUUCCGUUUAUCAUUGUCGGAAUUCUUAUACGCUUUUAUAUAUAGUAUAGAUAUAAAUAAUAAAUAGGUGUUAUCUCAUUCGAUUGCAAUAAUCUCUGCUCGAGAGAUU
This 224-nucleotide long non-coding RNA is filed under the name Ananas comosus (pineapple). Its description in RNAcentral is "long non-coding RNA (ACOM_LNC020213)". The record is from RNAcentral. Lineage: Eukaryota; Viridiplantae; Streptophyta; Magnoliopsida; Poales; Bromeliaceae.